This 595-nucleotide ribosomal RNA is filed under the name uncultured bacterium. RNAcentral's name for it is "bacterial SSU rRNA". It matches the Rfam family "Bacterial small subunit ribosomal RNA", at positions 338 to 949 of the family's 1533-position model. The record is from RNAcentral.
CCUACGGGAGGCAGCAGUGGGGAAUCUUGCGCAAUGGGCGAAAGCCUGACGCAGCAACGCCGCGUGCGGGAAGAAGGCUUUCGGGCUGUAAACCGCUUUCAGCAGGAACGAAAAUGACGGUACCUGCAGAAGAAGGAGCGGCCAACUAUGUGCCAGCAGCCGCGGUGAUACAUAGGCUUCAAGCGUUGUCCGGAUUUAUUGGGCGUAAAGAGUUCGUAGGCGGUCAAGUAAGUCGGGUGUGAAAAUUCUGGGCUCAACCCAGAGACGCCACCCGAUACUGCUUAACUUGAGUUCGAUAGGGGAGUGGGGAAUUCCUAGUGUAGCGGUGAAAUGCGCAGAUAUUAGGAGGAACACCGGUGGCGAAGGCGCCACUCUGGAUCGAUACUGACGCUGAGGAACGAAAGCAUGGGUAGCAAACAGGAUUAGAUACCCUGGUAGUCCAUGCCGUAAACGGUGGGCACUAGGUGUGGGUUUCUAUUACGAAAUCCGNGCCGUCGCUAACGCAUUAAGUGCCCCGCCUGGGGUAGUACGGUCGCGAGACGUAAACUACAAGAAGUAGUAAGGUCGUGAGAGUGCGAGACGCGACGAGGAGAGG